GGCACUGCCUGAUGGAGGGGGAUAACUACUGGAAACGGUAGCUAAUACCGCAUAACGUCGCAAGACCAAAGAGGGGGACCUUCGGGCCUCUUGCCAUCGGAUGUGCCCAGAUGGGAUUAGCUUGUUGGUGGGGUAACGGCUCACCAAGGCGACGAUCCCUAGCUGGUCUGAGAGGAUGACCAGCCACACUGGAACUGAGACACGGUCCAGACUCCUACGGGAGGCAGCAGUGGGGAAUAUUGCACAAUGGGCGCAAGCCUGAUGCAGCCAUGCCGCGUGUAUGAAGAAGGCCUUCGGGUUGUAAAGUACUUUCAGCGGGGAGGAAGGGAGUAAAGUUAAUACCUUUACUCAUUGACGUUACCCGCAGAAGAAGCACCGGCUAACUCCGUGCCAGCAGCCGCGGUAAUACGGAGGGUGCAAGCGUUAAUCGGAAUUACUGGGCGUAAAGCGCACGCAGGCGGUUUGUUAAGUCAGAUGUGAAAUCCC
RNAcentral lists this ribosomal RNA (486 nucleotides) under Escherichia coli. RNAcentral describes it as "bacterial SSU rRNA". It matches the Rfam family "Bacterial small subunit ribosomal RNA", at positions 120 to 603 of the family's 1533-position model. Lineage: Bacteria; Pseudomonadati; Pseudomonadota; Gammaproteobacteria; Enterobacterales; Enterobacteriaceae. The record is from RNAcentral.